AAUCGCACAGGACUUCUCUUUUUCUAUCAAUAUCGAUAGAUUUUAUCUAGGUGCAUCCUACUCUGAUAUUGAACCUGGACCUACUGUAGCCAACAUACAUAGUAAGGAUCUGAAUAGCUAGAAAUCAAAAAAAUAUGCAGUCAAACUUAGUAGCCUCAUUGUGAAUAAUCGAUGACACCGUAGGUCAAAGGACCACCUACACCAUUGC
RNAcentral lists this long non-coding RNA (208 nucleotides) under Elaeis guineensis (African oil palm). RNAcentral describes it as "long non-coding RNA (EGUI_LNC045390)". Lineage: Eukaryota; Viridiplantae; Streptophyta; Magnoliopsida; Arecales; Arecaceae. The record is from RNAcentral.